UACGUAGGUGGCAAGCGAUACUCGGAAUCACUAGGCGUAAAGCGCAGGUAGGUGGUUUGGUAAGUCUUUUGUGAAAGCUCCCGGCUUAACUGGGAGAGGUCAAAGGAAACUACCAGACUAGAGUUUGGUAGGGGAUACUGGAAUUCCUGGUGUAGCGGUGAAAUGCGUAGAUAUCAGGAGGAAUACCUAUGGCGAAAGCAGGUAUCUGGGCCAUAACUGACACUGAGCUGCGAAAGCUAGGGGAGCAAACAGG
Molecule: ribosomal RNA, 253 nt
Filed under: uncultured bacterium
Lineage: Bacteria
Description: partial 16S ribosomal RNA
Rfam family: Bacterial small subunit ribosomal RNA
Source: RNAcentral